CCCCUAAUUCAUUGGGACCAAAACUCCCAAAAUCAAUCCAAACCUUCCUUUUGUGGUCAUAAACCUUUUGUUAAAAUUUCAUAGAUUUCUAUUAACUUAUACUAAAGUAAUUGUGCAAAAACCAAGAAAAAUGCUUAUUUGGGACCUGUUUUUGGCCCCUAAUUCCUAAACUGUUGAAACUAAAACUCCUGAAAUCAGUCCCAACCUUCCUU
RNAcentral lists this long non-coding RNA (212 nucleotides) under Mytilus galloprovincialis (Mediterranean mussel). The record is from RNAcentral. Lineage: Eukaryota; Metazoa; Mollusca; Bivalvia; Mytilida; Mytilidae.